This 497-nucleotide ribosomal RNA is filed under the name uncultured bacterium. Its description in RNAcentral is "partial 16S ribosomal RNA". It matches the Rfam family "Bacterial small subunit ribosomal RNA", at positions 28 to 507 of the family's 1533-position model. The record is from RNAcentral.
GAUGAACGCUGGCGGCGUGCCUAAUACAUGCAAGUCGAGCGAACGGACGAGAAGCUUGCUUCUCUGAUGUUAGCGGCGGACGGGUGAGUAACACGUGGAUAACCUACCUAUAAGACUGGGAUAACUUCGGGAAACCGGAGCUAAUACCGGAUGAUAUUUUGAACCGCAUGGUUCAAAAGUGAAAGACGGUCUUGCUGUCACUUAUAGAUGGAUCCGCGCUGCAUUAGCUAGUUGGUAAGGUAGCGGCUUACCAAGGCAACGAUGCAUAGCCGACCUGAGAGGGUGAUCGGCCACACUGGAACUGAGACACGGUCCAGACUCCUACGGGAGGCAGCAGUAGGGAAUCUUCCGCAAUGGGCGAAAGCCUGACGGAGCAACGCCGCGUGAGUGAUGAAGGUCUUCGGAUCGUAAAACUCUGUUAUUAGGGAGGAACAUAUGUGUAAGUAACUGUGCACAUCUUGACGGUACCUAAUCAGAAAGCCACGGCUAACUACGUG